AGGGGGGGGUGAAUUGGGUUUCUAAAAAUUUUAAGCCCAACUGAUUACUUGUGAAGAACAAAACAAAGACUUUAAAUCAAUAUUAAUUACCUAAAGCAGUAUUGCAAGGAUAUAAUAAAGAAAUAAGAUAAAGCAAUAAAGCACACCACAAACACAAGGAUUUAUAGUGGUUCGGUGCUAACCUUGCACCUACAUCCACUCCCUAAGAUCCUACUUGGGAAUUUCAAUCCACUAUCCUUUGUAUUCAACCCGAAUACAAAAUGUCGGAAACUCCGACACUAGCUAUCUCAAGC
RNAcentral lists this long non-coding RNA (293 nucleotides) under Elaeis guineensis (African oil palm). RNAcentral's name for it is "long non-coding RNA (EGUI_LNC075108)". Lineage: Eukaryota; Viridiplantae; Streptophyta; Magnoliopsida; Arecales; Arecaceae. The record is from RNAcentral.